CGUGCCUUUGAGUGGGGGAGUAACUAGUCGAAAGAUUAGCUAAUACCGCAUACGAUCUACGGAUGAAAGUGGAGGACUCGUAGGAGCCUCAUGCUCAAAGAGCGGCCGAUAUCUGAUUAGCUAGUUGGUGAGGUAAAGGCUCACCAAGGCAUCGAUCAGUAGCUGGUCUGAGAGGACGACCAGCCACACUGGGACUGAGACACGGCCCAG
RNAcentral lists this ribosomal RNA (210 nucleotides) under uncultured bacterium. RNAcentral's name for it is "partial 16S ribosomal RNA". It matches the Rfam family "Bacterial small subunit ribosomal RNA", at positions 125 to 334 of the family's 1533-position model. The record is from RNAcentral.